AGCAAACCAUUGAAGGUGCUAAAGUUAAUCUUUCUCCAUCAAUCCUCAGCUCUGGAAGUUGGUAAAGCAUUCAAGACAUCCUUCUACACCAACGACCUCACUAUUGCCUCUCACUAUUUGUAUUUAUACUUUUAUUGUUGAGCAAUAGUCUGUGCUUUAAACUUCAAAUAUCUUUUGUACAAGUUUUAGUAGGGUCUGAAACUUGGGGAAGGUCUUGUCCAAACCUUAAUUGGACGGUGUAUAAGUUUUGGUUGGUAAGCUCGUAAAACCAACUGGAUUGAUUAUGAGCUCGGAAAACAAACGGUUAGGUUGUAGUUGGUCAGCCCGUAAAACCAACUGGGUUCGUUGUGAUCCAAUGAAAACAACAAGUUGGUUGUGAGCUUGAAAAACAACCGGACUGUAAUCGGGGUAAUUAUGGUAAAAUUCUCAAGAGGUCUUGGAAAGUGGACGAAGGUGCAAGGUUGGUACCGAACCACUAUAAAAUUCUUCUUAUUUGUGAUUGCUUUACUUUUCCUCGCUGCAAUUGUUGUUUCUC
Molecule: long non-coding RNA, 535 nt
Filed under: Phoenix dactylifera (date palm)
Lineage: Eukaryota; Viridiplantae; Streptophyta; Magnoliopsida; Arecales; Arecaceae
Description: long non-coding RNA (PDAC_LNC012386)
Source: RNAcentral